ACGCCUAACACAUGCAAGUCGAACGCAGUAGCAAUACUGAGUGGCAAACGGGUGAGUAUAAUGUGGGUAUCUGCCUUUUGGUUUGGAAUAACACGGGGAAACUUGUGCUAAUACCGAAUAAGCCUUCACAGGGAAAGUUUUAAUGCCAAAAGAUGAGCCCGCACUUGAUUAGCUAGUUGGUGAGGUAAUAGCUCACCAAGGCAAUGAUCAAUAGCUGUUCUUAGAGGAAGACCAGCCACAUUGGGACUGAGACACGGCCCAGACUCCUACGGGAGGCAGCAGUGGGGAAUCUUGCACAAUGGGGGAAACCCUGAUGCAGCGAUGCCGCGUGAGUGAAGAAGGCCCUUGGGUUGUAAAACUCUUUCGUCGGGGAAGAAAAUGACUGUACCCGAAUAAGAAGGUCCGGC
Molecule: ribosomal RNA, 407 nt
Filed under: uncultured bacterium
Lineage: Bacteria
Description: bacterial SSU rRNA
Rfam family: Bacterial small subunit ribosomal RNA
Source: RNAcentral